RNAcentral lists this ribosomal RNA (899 nucleotides) under Thermotogaceae bacterium enrichment culture clone B312130. Its description in RNAcentral is "bacterial SSU rRNA". It matches the Rfam family "Bacterial small subunit ribosomal RNA", at positions 8 to 916 of the family's 1533-position model. The record is from RNAcentral. Lineage: Bacteria; Thermotogati; Thermotogota; Thermotogae; Thermotogales; Thermotogaceae. RNAcentral also lists the same sequence under 1 other name.
AGAGUUUGAUCAUGGCUCAGGGUGAACGCUGGCGGCGUGCUUGACACAUGCAAGUCGAACGGUAUGUGGCAACACAUAGAGUGGCGAACGGGUGAGUAACACGUGGGAACGUAUCUUUUGCAGGGGGAUAACUGACCGAAAGGACAGCUAAUACCGCAUAAGUCCGGGAGGAGAAAGGUGCAACAGCAUCGGCAGAAGAGCGGCCCGCGGUCCAUCAGCUAGUUGGUGAGGUAAGGGCUUACCAAGGCGACGACGGAUAGCCGGCGUGAGAGCGUGGCCGGCCACAAGGACACUGAGAUACGGGUCCUACUCCUACGGGAGGCAGCAGUGCGGAAUUUUAGAUAAUGGAGGGAACUCUGAUCUAGCGACGCCGCGUGCAGGAAGAAGGUCUUCGGAUUGUAAACUGCUGUGGUAAGGGAAAAAUGCUAUGUAGAGUGGAAAGCUACAUAGAGGGAUGGUACCUUACUAGAAAGCCCCGGCUAACUACGUGCCAGCAGCCGCGGUAAUACGUAGGGGGCGAGCGUUACCCGGAAUCACUGGGCGUAAAGGGAGCGUAGGUGGCCUAACAUGUCAACUGUGAAAACCCGGAGCUCAACUCCGGACUUGCAGUUGAAACUGGUAGGCUUGAGGACGGUAGAGGAAGACGGAACUGCCAGUGUAGGGGUAAAAUCCUUAGAUAUUGGCAGGAACGCCGGUGACGAAGGUGGUUUUCUGGGCCGGUUCUGACACUGAUGCUCGAAAGCCAGGGGAGCGAACGGGAUUAGAUACCCCGGUAGUCCUGGCCCUAAACGAUGUUCACUAGGUGUGGGGAGCGGAAAGCUCUCCGUGCUAAAGCUAACGCGAUAAGUGAACCGCCUGGGGAGUACGCCCGCAAGGGUGAAACUCAAAUGAAUUGACGG